AUGGUGGAGAGAAGGCACUGGCAUAUUGAUGAUGGGAUACAAUGUCUACUCUGCCCAACUCAGUCUUGGGAGUAUAGAGACCAUCUUUUCUUCACAUGUAAUUUCAGUUAGCGUAUAUGGAACUACUUGCAGAUUGAUUGGGGUUUGGGCACUACUAUGUCUGAAAUUGCUGUACACGCUAGGAGGGAUUUUGCCAAACCUUUCUUUGCUGAGGUGGGCUUUACUGCAUGCUGGAAUAUCUGGUUGAUAAGGAAUGGAAAGGUGUUCAGGAAGGAAAGGCCAAGUUUUAACCAUUGGAGGGGUGCUUUUAUUCAUGAUAUGUCUCUGCUUGCUCAUCGAAUCAAUCCUAGGCUCAGGGAUGAUCUAGUUAGGUGGGUGACUUACCUGCCCCCUUGA
This 396-nucleotide ribosomal RNA is filed under the name Triticum aestivum (bread wheat). RNAcentral's name for it is "partial small subunit ribosomal RNA". The record is from RNAcentral. Lineage: Eukaryota; Viridiplantae; Streptophyta; Magnoliopsida; Poales; Poaceae.